UACAGAACUGGUGAACAUAUUGUGGGGUUGGGGGAAACUAUGAGCUUAGCCCUACAGAAGGGAGCUGUGUGGCAACGAGUAGGUGGGCUAAGAUUGUGUCACUGUUGCUGGAUGGUGAUUACAGUAUAUCUUCAUUGGUGUGUGCCAGAGUGUGUUAAUAUGCAUAUGUACAUAAUAUGCAUACAUACAUAAUAUACAAAUACAUGUAAGGUUUUUUUAUUUAAAAAAUUACUAAAAGCAUUAUAUAAUUGUAAGCAGCAAAUGCUGUGAAUUUCAGGUCAUCUUCAUUAAUACUGUGUGAUAUCAGGAUGAGACUUCCUCUUAGGCAGAAGCAUGUACUGCAGGUUUCUUUGUCAGAAAUACUAGCUCCUUGGAUGUAUGCGCUCGUGCUCUGCCUCUUGAAUUGGAUGAGGGAGGAAAAGCAAACAGGUGGUGAAAAUGGUCCCUCAUGCUGGAAAAAUCAAGUGCCGGUAUGAAAGGAAGGUUGCUGGCAGACUGGCUUGCAUUUUUGUAAAGGGGGGAGAGAACCCACGCCUAAUGCAGGGGGUACUGCAUGCAGUUGGUUACAUAAUGGCAUCAACUGGGCAAAUUGACAGCACAGACUGUAUUAUAAAUUCUGUAUCUAAAGAAGGUACAUUGGGGAUGAAUUCUUUCUGGAGGCUGAUAAGGCCAGAUCACAUGGGAAGGCCGCAUCAGAAAAGAGAAGGGAAGGAUGAUUCACAAAAAAAGGCAGAUUUGGGAAAUGUAUACUGUAUGUGUGAGCCAUGGACUGCAACUGUCUACUGGAGUCUAGCAUUAUAUACUCCCAGGCUCCUGUUAACAUUCCUGUGUCUCUGCUUCCUGUUAAAUGCCUUAACUUUUUAGCUCUUCAGGUGGUAAGGAAGUUUGAAAAAACUUAGUGUCUGGAAGGGUCACAAACAAACAUGUUGGUAAGGCAGCUCAAGAUUUAUUUCUCUUCCAAAUGCCUCUGGUUACUAAGAUCUAUUCAGAGUUCUCAGGAAGGCUGACUCUUGAUAUCCUCAAAAACUUAUUUUGGAAAACUCUUUGGAAGGGGAUUGUCAUAUCUGGAAUGGAGAAGAUGAUGCUUCUUCCCCCAGUCAAGCUAGCUAGAAAAAUGGAGCAUGUUUGGCUUCUUUCAUAUACGGUAUCUUUGCCCCCUUAUUUCUGUUGCCCAGUUGUUUGCUCUGCAAUAACCAUUCUGAAAACACUCUGCUUGUGUGCCUGUGUUCUUGUUGCUACCCAAAUCAGCUGCUCAGGAAGCAGGACCCAGUGGCCUUCUGGUUGCUUUCAUGAUGCAAGGCUCCAAAGCUUAUGGUUAAGAAUAGUAAUAUAGAUUACAAUUGAGAACCCAGUAUAAACUAAACAUGUUCCAACAAACUCUGCUCUGGGGUCUAGUGGCACUUUGCAAAGUGCAAUGCAAAACUGGGAAAAGAUUAGCUGCAGUCCAGAUUGCCCAACUCUAAGCAAAGAAUGUUUUGGCUCAGUUGGUUCAGUCCCAUCUGUGCUUUAAGCAGAAGGAUUCCUAUAUUUUGGAAGUCAAGUUACUGAUGAUUUAGGUCAUCCUGCCCCAACCUGGUGCUCUUGAGAUGUUUUUGAUUAUGAAUUCUCAUGGGGGUUCAUACCGGUAGUCUUGGAGGGCACCAGGCUGGGGAAGGCUGAUUUAGGUUUUUCCCCUUUCACUCUUUGUGUUGCACCAAACUUCAGAGCUUCUAGUCUGGGCUACAAAGAACAUGUGAAGAAUGCACAUGUGUUUGCAAACAGAAUUGGGUCAUUCAGUUAAAUUGAUUGGAAGUAAGCUCAAGGCUGGUGGCAGGGGUAAUACCCCUUCACAAAACAUAUGCAAUUCAUUGCCACAAGUGAUGGUGAAAGGUUAAAUGGAGCCUCCAGGUUCAAAGGCAGUAUACCUCUGAAUACCAUUUGCUAGAGGAAUAAUUUCUGUCUUGCUCUGCUUGUCUAAUGGCAUCUUGUUAAAAAUGUGCUGGCCUGUUUGGAAUGAACCAUUGAUUCAUAUCCGGCAUAAGAUCUGUGUAUGUCUGAGGGAGAAGCUUCUUGUAAAGUCCAUAGGCACUUCUUAUGUCAUCCCAUGUCAAUAAGGGUUCAGAUCUAUAAUACCAAUGACCAAUAUUGCUGAAGACCUUUGCUUAGUUUCCUGUUGGUGUGCCUGCCUCAUAUUUCUGUCCACUUCCUGUUUUUCUGAGUUUCCUUUCUUCAUUUGCAUAGCUUCCUGUGUGCUCAUAGCCCUUGACUUCAAGCAGCCUACGCUAGCCUCCCCGUGGUUGAGCGUUGGAAGAUAUUUCUAUGACAGUUCCCUGAGAAGCCAAGACUGAUAGUUCUGCUCUCUAUGAUACUUGGCUGAAACAGCUUUCUAAAAGGUUCCCUAAGCACUCUUGUUCUUUCUGCUUAUAAUACUACAUUUUGCGGUCUGGUUUGCAUCCUCCACAGUAAGGGCUUGUGCAGGCUAGUUAAGUGAAACUUUAUUUAUUUACAUACUGCUUAAUGCUAAAUUUGGCUUCUAAAUGGUUUACAAUAUAUAACUAUGGGGACUGCAGAAUUGGGGACAUUAGCAUUUGAGUUGAAUGCUGGCAGAAGCUGAACCCUGUUGGAGCAGCACACUUUACUCUGGAUACAAGACCCUGGUUUUAGGAGAAUAAGAAAUAUAUUUCUUAUUGGAAUAAAUGUUGUAUAGGAAAGAUGCUAGUUCUGUCUUGUUAAGGGAGGGAAGAGAAGUAGGAAGAUCAGGUCAGCAAUUAUUAUUGUUAUUGUUAUUAUUAUCAUCAUCCACCCUUCACCCUAAAGUCCCAGGGCAGGUUACAUCAUUAAAAACACUAAAAACUUACAAUCACACAAAUAAGGUGGGUCCUAAAAACAUGCACCUCAAGUGUCAAAAGCCAGGGUAAAAAAGUGCAUCUUCAGCAUUCUCCAGCAACUGUAUAAUGAAGUUGCUAGAUGCACCUCCACCUGAGUAUAAGGCAGAGGAACUAUCAAGCAGGUCUUCUUUGCCAAUCUCAGCACCCAAGAGGGUCUCUAAGGAAGAAGGCGGUCUAAGUUACCAGUAACGCUAAAGGAAGAACAACCCAGGUUGGGAUAAGGACAGUCUUGGAAGCUUGGCGCUUUCUUAUGCAGGUGCAUUGGCCUACAGUGCAAGCUAGGUUGCACCCCAAUACUUCCAAGAGGUUCAUCCUGAUCAAGAUGGAGUAAAAAUUAGUGAUUCAGCCAGAGCCCCUGGUAGAAGUCAGAAGAUGAAGGUGGUACAGCUUGGGGCAGGAAGGUUGAUCUUCUCCUGUGUUCCUCUGCCGUACGUUAUGGUCAUUGAGAUUUUGUCAUUUUUAAAGCACUUUCCCACUUGCAUAAUGGUAUCUAGUGCAGGCUUGUAGCCAUUUUUUUUCAUGGGAGGUUGCAUUUGGCUUGAACCUGUGGUUUUGUUUUUCUAGCGAUUGCAACUGGGGCAUAAGGCAGCACAAACGCUGCCACAGCAACCUUGAAGAGGGAAAGAUACAGAAGAUUAAUCAGAUUGUGCGUAACAUGGCUAAUUGCAGAGUGUCCAUUUGUAUGUAUACCUAAGGUUGUUCUUUUGGCUUUGAGCAAACAUGAUCACCUUGCUUGCCUGCCUGCAAUACUUGAGUGAGUGAAGGCAGUUUGGGGGGCUGUUGCUGUGUUCUAACAUUUAUGUAGUGCAGAUUGUGCUCGAUGCUGUACAUAUUGCAGUGAUGGUGACUGUUCUUUUGCAAGAUGAGCAGCCUGACCCACUGAUUGCAGUGGAAUAUACUUCCAAGUAGGUAGCCCAAAUUUUUGGUAAUUAAGAACUUGAACUGCCUGUGCCUUCUGGGAUGUUACAGUUGCAGAACGCACUAAGGAAGAGACAAACCUUUUGCAGUCAACAAUGGCAUGUUUAAUCUGGUUGAAACUUGAACUGGAGCCACUAUAAACAAAGAAAUAGAUCCAUGGGCAGCUUAUGCUGGUUCAUAGCAGCUAUCUGAGUUUUUCUUGAGGGUGAGGGGGAAGUAUGGCAAAUAGAGGAACUGAAGGGCAAAGGCUGUUGACAGUUUUUUUUUCCCCAGACCAUAAAACUUCGCUCCUGUUUCUUCAACCACACUUGCUUCCUUUGCAUUGCUCAAGAAACCCUCCCAACUGACUGUAGCCAAUGCUGUCGUCUUCAUAAGGUCCUGUUGUGUUCACUUCCUGUGACUACACAGAGAAAUGAUGAAAUUGUCCUUUAUUGUUCCAAGUGCUUGAUGGUGAAGCUGAGUCAAGGCUACUCAGGGGGUGUUAAUAAAUGUGCAUGUUGAAACAAAUUCAUUUUGUUUUCCAGACUGGAAAAACUUUUUUCAUGUGGCCCCUACACACAAAGCUUCAGUGCAAGGUAACACUGUCGCAGCACAAAAUGGAAUUGCUUAAAUUGCAGUGAUAACUUAUACUGCUAUUUUUGCAGUAGCACUAGAAAAGUACAGAAUGUAGUAUUGGGUGCACAAUUCAAUUUUCCUAGAAUCAGGACUAUUAUUUUUCGAAAAGCAAGAUUCCAGCCCUUAUGGUUGAGAAUAUAUGCUUGAAAGCAUACAAACUGUUUAGGGAAGUUUUUAAUGUUUGAUGCUGUACUGUUUUUAAUAUUCGGUUGGAAGCCGCCCAGAGUAGCUGGGGAAACCCACCCAGAUGGGUGGGGCAUAAAUAUUAUUAUUAUUAUUAUUAUUAUUAUUAUUAUUAUUAUUAUUAUUAUUAUUAUCUCUCAGAAGUAACAUCUAACAUUACCUUCCAUGGCCCCUUUGUCCUGUCUAGUGGAUAUAGGGCAAACUGCAAAAAUUAUGCUUAAAUUUGCAUAAUUUAUACAGGAUAUAAAAUGUUGGUUAUUUUGGAAUAAUUUGGGUUCUUCUUAAGCAGGGUGUGUGUGCAUUCACACGUAAUUUUAUAAUGCACACACAUACCAUAAACCUGGCUGUAACUCUGACAAAUCAGAUGCUUUCCAUGCAGAAGUCCUGGGUUCAAUCCCCAGCAUCCUCAUGUGGGGCUGGGAGGGAACCCUGUCAGAUUCUAGAGAGCCACUGCCAGUAAAUACAGACAAUAUUGAGCUAGAUGUACCAAUAAGGCAACAUCCAUUGUUCCCCUUUUGCCUGUCAUGCUUAAACUUAUUCUAGCUGCUGUCCCUGGCAUGUCCCUCUUUAGUUAGGUUGACUGCUGCUUUGCCUUGGGUGGGGUGGUCCCCACCAAAAUAUUUGUUUGCAGGACCCACAACCGUCUCAGCUUCUCCCAUCCCCAAAUGCCUUUGCGACCCAGCUCUCUUCUCUGCUGCCCAUGGCAGCUGUUGAUACUCUGUUCUGCCUGCCUACCAUAGUCACUUAUGGUAUUUCAUCACAUGAAGUGGGUUUGAAUACAGUAGACCAGGCAUCCCCAAACUUGGUCCUCCAGCUGUUUUGGGACUACAACUCCCAUCAUCCCUAGCUUACAGGACCAGUGGUCAGGGAUGAUGGGAAUUGUAGUCCCAAAACAGCUGGAGGACCAAGUUUGGGGAUGCCUGCAGUAGACCCACAGCUUACACAGGGGUUACAUUCUGGGGAUAGCGCAUAAAGCCAAAAUUGCACAUAGUCAAAACACAUUGGGUGCAAUGAAGGGUAGAAUUGCCAUUUCCUCCCGCCCUCCGGAUGCUUGCCCCCUUUCCACCUUUUAAUUAAAAACAAAAAUCGCCUAGCAAGUAAAGCUGAAUGCACACAAGUUAAAUGCACAUAAGUUGCACAUUUACUGUAUUCUUGGAAGCUACUGUGUUUUUCAGGAUAGCUACUUUGGUUACAUUGUUCACAUGCAAAUAAAGAUGGAUAGGCUUGUCCCACUGGUCUCCAGGAGCCUCACAUACCCAGAAAAGGGCAUUGUCUUUGAGCAUGUUGCCUUGGGCUCAACCUGCCUUAUGAUUUGUAUUAACCGUGCUGCAGGGCAUGGAUGCUGAGAAUGGUUUGUCAAGCUAACAUUGGAGUUUUCUAAGCAUGUGUGACAUUCUCUGGCUCGCUUGUCUUUGAAUCUUUAACACUAAACUGAUCAUGCUGCACAGAUGUACUGUAUCUGAUACUUCCCCCUUUCCAAACUCUUCCUCUCUACUUCCAGAUCCACAUCCCUUCUUUCCCACAGGUUCCUUUGGAUCCAGAGCCGCAGGUGACAAGAGCUGCAGGUUCUUCCCCAAGUGGAGCCCUCACCAGCUGAUUAUUGCAACUUCUACUGUGUCAGCUCAUCAGGUCUUAAGGUUGCCCCCCUAAUUCCUCCUUUGGUUUGUCCAAACAUCAUUCCCCCGCCUUCCCCUGCCUCCUUCUUGCACCAGUGUGUUGUGCGAAUUUCUCCUUGAGUCCCUCUCUGAAAUCCAACCCUCUUGCAGCACAUUGCCAGGUAGAUGGGAAGACCUUACGCUUUUCUUACUUUUGUGAUGGCGCACAGUUCUUGGUAUUUAACCAUAGCAUCCAUUCAUUGCUUUUAUCAUGGAUAAGCAAGGUUGGAAGAGUAUUUCAUUUUUUUUUUUUUAACAUACUUUUUAUUAAUUUUACAAAAUACAAAAAAACAAAAAAACGGUACAUACUUAAACCCCUUUUCCACCUCCUUCCUACCCACCCACAUGGGUCCUCCCCUGCCACAGAAGUAUCCCAUGUUUGUGAACAGUCAGAAAUGGUCCAUUUUAUGCUUGGAUUUCUGUCCUCCUCCCCCUCCCCUGACCCCAAAGCCCCCCCCUGCCACCAGGGAGCUCCAGCAAACCAGGGCAGUACGCAGGAGGACAUCCAUCCAACCAUCUAUUGUUAUACCAAAAAAAAGAGAAAAAUAGAAAUAGGAAAAAAAGGGGAAAAAGAAAGGGCGAAGAAAAAAAAGAAAAAGAAAAAAACAAUACAAAACAGAAAAAUUUUUCUUGCAUUCAUAGUUGAAAAACCAUAUUUUAUGGGCUUCCCCUCCCCCCCUUCCCCGGUUUUCAUCCCUUUUUUAUCAUCUGCAACAGUUUCUUACUUUAUAAAAAUACACCUUUGUAUCUUAUACAACUUAUAAAUCAAUUGUUAACAUUUUCAUCUAAUAUUCAAAUCACUGAAAAUUCAAACUCCCAUUUUCUCUUCCCGUGCCUAAUUUUUUUUUCUCCCUCUAUAAGCCUCCAUAUUUUCACAUUUUCCAAAAUCCAUUCACUUUUAAAACUAUAACUAUUCUCAAUUUAACCUUACAUCCCCGAUUACCGGCUUCCGGGUUCAGCGCCAGCGUCGAUCGGCGGGGUUUCGUCUCGUCUCCGAGACGGCCCGUCUCUGCUAGGAGUGGGGAGGGCAGCGAGAGCAACGCUGCGCCCCUUAGAACCUCGGGAAGGGCGUCCCGAGGGCAAUUUGCUCGGCACAGACCCAAUCCGGACUCCCCAACUCUUCGGUUAGCUCUAAUAAGAGCUCCGGAGCGAGGAGGGUAGAAGUCGCGGGGGCCAUUUUGAGCGGCAACGUUAUUCUAGCAGGGAGAAGCUUCAAGCCGAAGGCGGAGAGCGCUGGAUUCUUCCGAAAAUAAAACGAUUGGAAAAGACUGUAAGUAACCUCACGAUUUGGAUUAUAAAACAAUUUGGUCUGGGAGAGAGGGGAGAAAAGAGGAAGCCACCCCCCCCCACGGCAACAAAGAGACAGUAAAUAGAAACCCGAAGCCAUAAACAGAAGAUUUGUAAUUCAAAAGGAUCCCUCAAAGGCAUCAAAGAGAAUAUCCCCUUUGAUGCAGGGUGAAAAGGGGAGAGAGACUGUGGUUUAUGACUGCCCUGCAGCAAUGAGGUAAAGCCUAAGAAAAACCUUUCUUUCCCUCGGGAGCCGGCAGCCCAGGCAAUCCAGUGAGUUGAUCAGGAUUUAUAAGUCAAUUUUUACUUCACUUUGUAUUUCUGGACUUUGUGGAAUUUCUUUUUUGGCUUAAGUGCUUGUGAAAUGUGAGUUCGAACUUUAUUGUUAACAAGACUUGAAGAAUGCAGCCAGCUUGUUAAAAUGGAGUCGAGAAAAUAAACUGUGAUCAUAUUCCACCCCACGUGAUAAGUUUUGACCUUGGCAGGACUGAAAUAUGUCAACAAAAAAGUGUUCCCCUGAGUUCCAGCGGUCUGUUUUGACCUUAAUGUGGGAAACAAGAAUAGAGUUAUGUCAAGAGGAGACACGACGACAGGAGUUACAGCAGAAAUUUCAGGAGGUGAUGGCGGAAUAUGAUUUUCUAGGAGAUGAAGCUUUUGACACUGAAAAAGAGCAAUGUGAGAAUGACAAUGAUGGGGAAGGAAAAGAUGAAGAUGAGGACUGUGAUGAUUCAACACAAAAUGAAACACACCAUGAAAAAAAUGAUGACUCUACUCUACAAAAAGUUGGAUGGAGUGCCCUGCCUUUGAGGGGGGCACGAUUGGUAUUAUUGGAACUCCAGAACGCCCACAGGGAAGAAGGAAAAAAUAUGCAGAGAAGAGAAGAAAUUCAGGGGUCCUGUAUGGUGACCUGGAUGGCAAGAGACUGUAAACAGGGGGUGGGGUGAAGGGAAAGUGAUGUUGUGAUUAUAAGGAUGGAUUAACAGGUUUAUAACUGGUCUGCUGAUUUUGGAAUUUGCUGGAUUGGGGGGGGUGGAGCUGGAAGAGUAUUUCAAAUUCCAAGGCGCAAGUACUUUUUUCCACCCUAGGAGUGGAAGCUGCUGGGCUCUGGCCUUGGACAGACCUAAAUAAAUAUUUCAGUACUCCUGGAUGCCAGCUUGAUUCAGAUUUCUAGGUGGCUGGUAGUUUUCCAGCUUCUGCCUUAGAGCCUCCAGUGCAGGCAUUUAACAUAUGUGGUUACCAAACCAGUUGUGCAAAGGGAGAAGGGAUGUCUGUUUUCAUAGGCUGUUACCUAAGAUGUGUUUCCAAAGUAUAUCUGGAGGGCAGAUAUUAUUACCUGCUCUCAACUUGGGGUUGUCUUCUGGACUUCCAGCUAAAGUGCGUAGCAUUUGAGGGCUAAAUUAUAUGCGCAACUGCUCUUGAAGUGGUAAGGCUGGAGACAACUUUUGUAUUGGUUUCUGUGUGGUUUUCUUUUCAGUGUGCCCCUGUGCAUUCCAAGCUCUGGAAAUGACAACUUUCUACAUCUGCAAUCUAACUGCCACUGUGUGGUUUCAUUAGAGCUGGAAGGCAAAGCUGGUGAUGUUUCAGAGACAGCAACAUAUCUAAAGCAUAUAUAGGUGGUUUGAUAAGGGAAUGACGUGUGUGAUUUAAUUGUGUGACUGUCCACCUUUUGCGGAAGAUUCGAUAACCUAACUGAGCUGUACAGCUCAGUGUUCCCUAACAUUUGUGGCAAGCCAUUUGAUGUUUUAGUUGGUCUUUGCCAGACUCCAUUUUGCAGAUGCCCUGAGCUACCUAGUUAUGAACAAUGAAAUGUAUACAUUUUUUCCCUGAGCUCAUAGCAUGGGCUGUGUUGUGAAAUUGGAGCCUCUAAAUUUGUGUUUUGUGUGAAAGACAGCUGCUUUCUGUAGAAAAUUGAACUUUCAAUUUAAU
Non-coding RNA from Zootoca vivipara (common lizard), 9451 nucleotides. NCBI's taxonomy places the organism in Eukaryota, Metazoa, Chordata, Lepidosauria, Squamata, Lacertidae. The record is from RefSeq and is a predicted model, not a curated record.